This 585-nucleotide long non-coding RNA is filed under the name Lactuca sativa (garden lettuce). RNAcentral describes it as "long non-coding RNA (LSAT_LNC009775)". The record is from RNAcentral. Lineage: Eukaryota; Viridiplantae; Streptophyta; Magnoliopsida; Asterales; Asteraceae.
UGAAACGCAGAACGUAGACAGGAGAAACUUGCUUCUGGGACUCGGAGGUCUCUACGGCGCUGCCAACUUGACGACCAUUCCGUCAGCCUUUGGCAUUCCCAUCGCUGCUCCAGACAAUAUUUCAGACUGUGUUGCUGCGACUUCAAACCUAAGGAACAGCAAAGACGCUAUAAGGGGACUAGCGUGUUGUCCUCCGGUGCUUUCAACAAACAAACCAAUGGAUUACGUCCUUCCUUCAAACCCUGUGAUUCGUGUUCGACCAGCUGCACAGAAAGCCACUGCCGAUUACAUUGCUAAGUAUCAACAAGCAAUUCAAGCCAUGAAGGAUCUCCCCGAGGACCACCCACAUAGCUGGAAGCAACAAGGCAAGAUUCACUGUGCUUAUUGCAACGGUGGUUACAAUCAAGAACAAAGUGGUUACCCGAAUUUACAACUUCAGAUUCACAACUCAUGGCUCUUCUUUCCUUUCCACCGGUGGUACCUCUAUUUCUACGAGAAGAUAUUGGGGAAGUUGAUUAAUGAUCCAACUUUCGCUCUACCUUACUGGAACUGGGAUAACCCUACUGGAAUGGUUAUUCCUGCCAU